RNAcentral lists this long non-coding RNA (398 nucleotides) under Gopherus evgoodei (Goodes thornscrub tortoise). RNAcentral's name for it is "lncRNA (ENSGEVG00005016713.1)". The record is from RNAcentral. Lineage: Eukaryota; Metazoa; Chordata; Testudines; Testudinidae.
CAGACUGGCAGCAGGAAGCGAAUUGCAGUUGCUGCAGUAACUCUGUCGGGGUACAACCCACGUCCCUUGCAAGACCCCGGGGCCUCGGCUGCCGCUGCCGCUGGGGACCCAUAGCCCUGGCUGCAGGCGGGGGAGGAACAUCCCCGCUGUUCCCCGAGAGACUCUCCCAGUGCAGAGACCCCAGCCUGACCCGCUCCCCCCCAUUACUGGGGUCCAGAACCCCGCGUGGAGAGAAGGACUCCCCAUUCCCAAACCUGACCUAGUCGCCCGGCUGGAAGCAGGGGAAGAGCCAUGGGUCCCGGAUCUCCAAGCCUCUGAGGAAAGGAAGAUCCCAAGAGACACCCACACAGCAGGUGACAAGACAAAGAGUGAGAAUGAGGAGGAGAAUCCACAGCAGG